CGGGUGCGUAACACGUGUGCAACCUGCCUUUAUCUGGGGGAUAGCCUUUCGAAAGGAAGAUUAAUACUCCAUAGUAUAUUGAACGGCAUCGUUUAAUAUUGAAAGCUCCGGCGGAUAGAGAUGGGCACGCGCAAGAUUAGCUAGUUGGUGAGGUAACGGCUCACCAAGGCGAUGAUCUUUAGGGGGCCUGAGAGGGUGAUCCCCCACACUGGUACUGAGACACGGACCAG
This 230-nucleotide ribosomal RNA is filed under the name uncultured bacterium. Its description in RNAcentral is "partial 16S ribosomal RNA". It matches the Rfam family "Bacterial small subunit ribosomal RNA", at positions 103 to 334 of the family's 1533-position model. The record is from RNAcentral.